GAACGAUACUUGGCACCGUGUCGAGCGCAGCUCCGGCAGGUUCAUGAGGCGGUUCCGGCUGCCGGAAAAUGCGAAAAUGGAUGAGGUCAUGGCGUCAAUGGAGAACGGAGUACUUACCGUUACAGUUCCCAAGGUUGAGUGAAAUUGCAUUUGUUAGAAACUACGAGUUAUCCAAAACCAGUGACAACAAACUUGUUGGAUAUUAUACUGCCAAUAUCUAUAUCUACUCUUGAAGAUGCAACAGGCAUAAACCCUCCUCAGUUUUGUAUGUUCAGGGAACGGAGUUGAUGAGGUAUAAGCUCAUGAACUUCAAACUCUUGGAAAAAGUUAUAAACAUGCGGCGCUUAAGGCUUCCUCUAACCGGAGGGACUACAACUUUGUUCUUGCCUGUUGUAAAAUUUGCUAUCUUUGACAGCUUCUCCACCUUAAUCUUGUUCCCCAUGUACAUGUAUAUGUAUAUAGUUGCACUUUUUAUGUUU
This is a long non-coding RNA of Camellia sinensis, 479 nucleotides long. RefSeq lists it as uncharacterized. Lineage: Eukaryota; Viridiplantae; Streptophyta; Magnoliopsida; Ericales; Theaceae. The record is from RefSeq and is a predicted model, not a curated record.